RNAcentral lists this long non-coding RNA (1541 nucleotides) under Homo sapiens (human). Its description in RNAcentral is "HSALNT0112705". Lineage: Eukaryota; Metazoa; Chordata; Mammalia; Primates; Hominidae. The record is from RNAcentral.
AUAUAACCUCUAUCAAACUCCAAGUUUAGCUCAAACUCUAAAGUCAAGGACAUCCUCAUUAGAAUGGCCCUUCAUCAUCAACAUAGUUGACCUCCUGCCCUGCAGCCUGUUCUUCUGUGUCCAGGAUUGGUUCCCUCCGGUGGGUUCUUGGUCUUGCUGACUUCAAGAAUGAAGCUGCAGACCUUCGCGGUGAGUGUUACAGCUCUUAAAAGUGGCAAGGACACAAAGAGUAAGCAGCAGCAAGAUUUAUUGUGAAGAGUGAAAGAGCAAAGCUUCCGUGUAAUGGGACCCGAGCAGGUUGCUCCUGCUGGCUGGUGGGGGAGGGGGGGGUUGGCCAGCUUUUAUUCUCUUAUUUGUCCCCACCCAUGUCCAACUGAUUGGUCCAUUUUACAGAGCGCUGAUUGAUCCAUUAUACAGAGCAUUGAUUGGUCCAUUUUAUAGAGUGCUGAUUGGUCCAUUUUACAGAGUGCUGACUGUUGCAUUUAUAAUCCUUUACUAGACACAGAGUGCUGAUUGGUGCAUUUAUAAUCCUUUAGCUAGACACAGAGUGCUGAUUGCUGCAUUUUUACAGAGUGCUGAUUGGUGCAUUUACAAUCCUUUAGCUAGACACAGAGCGCUGAUUGGCGUGUUUACAAUCCUCUAGCUAGACAGAAAAGUUCUCCAAGUCCCCACUCCACCCAGGAAGUCCAGCUGGCUUCACCGGUCACUUCCUCAAACCCAGUGUGGAAUGUGGUUACUUUUUUAGUUUGAAGCAGCUCCUGACAGACCCUAGGAACUUUAUAGAUGAAACUGAGUGAUCUUUCCUAAUUACCAUGCUAAAGUCUCCACCCUGAGAGAAACUAUAGCAUCAUUACCAUAACAUGCGACCUAUGUGCUGGCAUAAUGACUCGCUGCAUUCCCGCCACUGGGACCCCUCCUCUACAUGUGAUGAUACACCCUGUCCCCUCUUCAUUGCCCAGUGAAGCCCUACUGUCACUUUCCCUCGGGGAGACACCACUUUGGAGAUACUCCCAGCUACUCCGGAGGCUGAGGCGCGAGAAUCCAGAAUUGCUUGAACCUGGGAGGCAGAGGUUGGAGUGAGCUGAGAUCGCAAUCGCACCACUGCACUCUAGCCUGGGUGACAGAGUGAGACUCCAUCUCAGAAACAAACAAUCAAAUACUCCUACUAAUUAAAACCUGCAUUCUCAUGGACAGUUGUUUGCUGCUUUCCAGGCAAACGAACCCUGGUUUUACAGGGAACACAACCUUGAUUGCAUUUAAUUGUGAAAGACCCUGUGGACAUGGAAAUAGCAGGGUUGUCCUGGAAAGUACAAAAGGAGAGCCUGAACCAAAAGAAAGCAAUCUGAGAAGAGGCGCAAAGAAGCAAAGGUAAACUGACAGUAGCAGCGGACAUUUGAAUGCAAAUUUAUUUAAACUAUAAAUUAAUUAGAAAUAAAAUAUUUGAAAGUAUUUGAUUAGUGCUACGAUUGUUUUAGGUCUCAGUUUACAACUAAUCAAAAUAAUACUAAUGUUCAAAAAUUAUCCAGGUAUUCAGAUCUUUU